AUUGAACGCUGGCGGCAUGCUUUACACAUGCAAGUCGAACGGUAACAGGCCGCAAGGUGCUGACGAGUGGCGAACGGGUGAGUAAUGCAUCGGAACGUGCCCAGUCGUGGGGGAUAACUACUCGAAAGAGUAGCUAAUACCGCAUACGAUCUAUGGAUGAAAGCGGGGGACCGGAAGGCCUCGCGCGAUUGGAGCGGCCGAUGUCAGAUUAGUUAGUUGUUGGGGUAAAGGCUCACCAAGCCAACGAUCUGUAGCUGUUCUGAGAGGACGACCAGCCACACGGGGACUGAGACACGGACCAGACUCCUAAGGGAGGCAGCAGUGGGGAAUUUUGGACAAUGGGCGCAAGCAUGAUCCAGCAAUGCCGCGUGCAGGAAGAAGGCCUUCGGGUUGUAAACUGCUUUUGUACGGAACGAAACGGCUCUGGUUAAUACCCGGGGCUAAUGACGGUACCGGAAGAAUAAGCACCGGCUAACUACGUG
Molecule: ribosomal RNA, 482 nt
Filed under: uncultured bacterium
Lineage: Bacteria
Description: partial 16S ribosomal RNA
Rfam family: Bacterial small subunit ribosomal RNA
Source: RNAcentral